ACGUCGGGGGCAAGCGUUGUCCGGAAUUAUUGGGCGUAAAGCGCGCGCAGGCGGUCAUUUAAGCCUGGUGUUUAAUCCCGGGGCUCAACCCCGGAUCGCACUGGAAACUGGGUGACUUGAGUGCAGAAGAGGAAAGUGGAAUUCCACGUGUAGCGGUGAAAUGCGUAGAUAUGUGGAGGAACACCAGUGGCGAAGGCGACUCUCUGGGCUGUAACUGACGCUGAGGCGCGAAAGCGUGGGGAGCAAACAGGAUUAGAUACCCUGGUAGUCCACGCCGUAAACGAUGAGUGCUAGGUGUUAGGGGUUUCGAUACCCUUGGUGCCGAAGUUAACACAUUAAGCAUUCCGCCUUGUGACUACGGUCGCAAGACUG
Molecule: ribosomal RNA, 372 nt
Filed under: uncultured bacterium
Lineage: Bacteria
Description: bacterial SSU rRNA
Rfam family: Bacterial small subunit ribosomal RNA
Source: RNAcentral